AUUGAACGCUGGCGGCAUGCCUUACACAUGCAAGUCGAACGGCAGCACGGGUGCUUGCACCUGGUGGCGAGUGGCGAACGGGUGAGUAAUACAUCGGAACAUGUCCUGUAGUGGGGGAUAGCCCGGCGAAAGCCGGAUUAAUACCGCAUACGAUCCACGGAUGAAAGCGGGGGACCUUCGGGCCUCGCGCUAUAGGGUUGGCCGAUGGCUGAUUAGCUAGUUGGUGGGGUAAAGGCCUACCAAGGCGACGAUCAGUAGCUGGUCUGAGAGGAGGACCAUCCACACGGGGACUGGGACACGGCCCAGACUCCUACGGGAGGAAGCAGUGGGGAAUUUUGGACAUGGGGCGAAAGCCUGAUGCAGCAAUGCCGCGUGUGUGAAGAAGGCCUUCGGGUUGUAAAGCACUUUUGUCCGGAAAGAAAUCCUUGACUCUAAUACAGUCGGGGGAUGACGGUACCGGAAGAAUAAGCACCGGCUAACUACGUG
Molecule: ribosomal RNA, 486 nt
Filed under: uncultured bacterium
Lineage: Bacteria
Description: partial 16S ribosomal RNA
Rfam family: Bacterial small subunit ribosomal RNA
Source: RNAcentral